GGGAAUGCUGGAUUGCUGUUAGAGAAGGUUGAAGAGCUCGAGAAGAUUAUUAAAAGGGGAAAUUCAGCUGUGGCAGCUGUGAAGGCUAUCACCAUAACUUCAGUUGGUGAUGGAAAGCCUUCUACUGGCAGUGAACAUGUAAAGUGAUCCUCUGUAUGUGGGAGCAACUUCGGUAAGUUUCGCCAGAUUCCUCGGUUGCAUGAGUGCGGAAUUAUAUCUUACUGUCUCCUUGGAGUCCUGGAAUUUGAUUUUAUACCCAAGGCUUAGGACUUCUGAUAAACUUUUCCUGUAAAAACACUUCC
Molecule: long non-coding RNA, 302 nt
Filed under: Eucalyptus grandis
Lineage: Eukaryota; Viridiplantae; Streptophyta; Magnoliopsida; Myrtales; Myrtaceae
Description: long non-coding RNA (EGRA_LNC007705)
Source: RNAcentral